Molecule: long non-coding RNA, 300 nt
Organism: Arvicola amphibius (Eurasian water vole)
Lineage: Eukaryota; Metazoa; Chordata; Mammalia; Rodentia; Cricetidae
Exons: 3
Source: RefSeq, a predicted model, not a curated record
CUGAGCCAGAUGCGAUGAAGCUCCAGCCCAAGAUGGAUGUAGGCUAGAAUCUUCCCGAUGCCAUUACAGAACACUACAACCAAAUCUAAGGAUUGUGGAUACCAGUCCUAAUGGAUACAUCUACAAAGUACACUUGUACCUAAGAUACUGGGAACACUGAAGAAGUUAGCAGUCUCAAAUAAAGGAAGUACACUGCCCAGAGUAUUCAGCAAGGGAUGGUAUAAACAUCUUCUUUCUUAAUAUGGAAUGGCUGUAGCCUGCAGAAUAGCAGAACCAAGCAAGGCCUCCAGAAUCACACAG